RNAcentral lists this long non-coding RNA (363 nucleotides) under Hordeum vulgare. RNAcentral's name for it is "long non-coding RNA (HVUL_LNC016246)". Lineage: Eukaryota; Viridiplantae; Streptophyta; Magnoliopsida; Poales; Poaceae. The record is from RNAcentral.
ACCUGCAGCUUGCGGAAGUGCGAAACCUAGGAGCGGAGACCUCUUCUUGCCGCCGCCGCUGGUUCUUGGCUGUUGGUUCUAUUCUAGCAGAUGUUUCUGCCCUGGGUGUGUGUUCGUCCGGAAAUCAAGAUCCACCGAGACAGAGAAGCGGAGUGGAGGCAGGGUUAGAGGCCACCGGUCCUGUAAAGCCUAGCUCGUGGAGGACCCAGGGAGAGGAAGGAGGGGAGUCACCGCCUCAGGCAAAGGGGAGUGGUCGCCGUCGAGCUGCACAUCGCCGGAAGGGGGCGGGAGGAGGCGAGGUCAGGGAAGAAUCUUUGGACGACGGCCCAAGUUCACGCCCGGUCUCUCAAGCCUUCGACGACG